AUCUAGAUAGUUUAAUAAAAAUGUUGAUUUGUGGUGUCAACGAUGGGGCUAACUGCUUCUUUGGAUU
This 67-nucleotide transfer RNA is filed under the name Schedorhinotermes sarawakensis. Its description in RNAcentral is "tRNA-His". Lineage: Eukaryota; Metazoa; Arthropoda; Insecta; Blattodea; Rhinotermitidae. The record is from RNAcentral.